RNAcentral lists this ribosomal RNA (189 nucleotides) under uncultured bacterium. RNAcentral's name for it is "partial 16S ribosomal RNA". It matches the Rfam family "Bacterial small subunit ribosomal RNA", at positions 338 to 524 of the family's 1533-position model. The record is from RNAcentral.
CCUACGGGAGGCAGCAGUGAGGAAUAUUGGUCAAUGGACGGAAGUCUGAACCAGCCAUGCCGCGUGGAGGAAGAAGGUCCUAUGGGUUGUAAACUCCUUUUGUUCCAGAGUAAUAACCCCCAUGCGUGGGGGGAUGAGAGUAUGGGGCGAAUAAGCAUCGGCUAACUCCGUGCCAGCAGCCGCGGUAAU